GUUUUAAAAAUUAGUGUGUUGUUAAUUAGAGCAUAGAAGUUUAUUAAGUAAUUAACAUGAUACGUUUAUUAAGAAACUUUUGCUUCUUUGGACGUUUAUUGGGAGUUUAAUUUGGUCUUUUUCAUUUGUUUAUACACAGCCCAUGUUUUAUUGAAAGAGCGGAAGCUCUCCAUGGAAGAUCCUUCACAUGAGGUAAAGAGCAAAGAAGAGACAAAUAAAGAGAGAUGAGAAUGGCUGAAUCUACUCGUAUAAGAGCGAACCCCAACAAAGUUCCCGUGAAUAUGGGAAGGCUAGACAGAGUGAUGUUCCUUACAUUGACAAGAAGAAGUGAGUAAAUGAUACAUCUUAUCUCUAUCUCUUUUGUUGGUUUUAGUAGUUUACUGUGGUUGUGAUUGUUUUGUGGAUAAAUUAUAAAUGUUCUUUGUCAGAGCUAAUUUGUUUUGCUGUCUCAAGUGAGUGCAGCCCAAGAUUUUGCUAUCUCAAGUGCAGUCUCAAGUGCAGUCUCAAGUCAAGUCCCAAGUGAGUGCAGCCCAAAAUCUACACAUAUUAGAAAUUAGGCUCAGCUUAGAUAUGAGAACAAGUUUGUUAAUUUUGGUACUUGUAAUCUUAGUUUAAGCCUUGGAUUGAGACAUUUUACUUGUAUGGUGUGGAUGAUUUACGAAAUGUAAAUAUUUUAUAUAAAUUUUAAAAGAGGUUUUCGCAAA
Molecule: long non-coding RNA, 704 nt
Organism: Arabidopsis lyrata subsp. lyrata
Lineage: Eukaryota; Viridiplantae; Streptophyta; Magnoliopsida; Brassicales; Brassicaceae
Exons: 4
Source: RefSeq, a predicted model, not a curated record